GAGGAAAGAGGGCGGCGGGUUGAACACAUGCAAGUCGAACGGAAAGGCCCUGCUUUUGUGGGGUGCUCGAGUGGCGAACGGGUGAGUAACACGUGAGUAACCUGCCCUUGACUUUGGGAUAACUUCAGGAAACUGGGGCUAAUACCGGAUAGGAGCUCCUGCUGCAUGGUGGGGGUUGGAAAGUUUCGGCGGUUGGGGAUGGACUCGCGGCUUAUCAGCUUGUUGGUGGGGUAGUGGCUUACCAAGGCUUUGACGGGUAGCCGGCCUGAGAGGGUGACCGGCCACAUUGGGACUGAGAUACGGCCCAGACUCCUACGGGAGGCAGCAGUGGGGAAUAUUGCACAAUGGGCGGAAGCCUGAUGCAGCAACGCCGCGUGCGGGAUGACGGCCUUCGGGUUGUAAACCGCUUUCGCCUGUGACGAAGCGUGAGUGACGGUAAUGGGUAAAGAAGCACCGGCUAACUACGUG
This 468-nucleotide ribosomal RNA is filed under the name uncultured bacterium. Its description in RNAcentral is "partial 16S ribosomal RNA". It matches the Rfam family "Bacterial small subunit ribosomal RNA", at positions 38 to 507 of the family's 1533-position model. The record is from RNAcentral.